GUGUCAGCGUCGUGCAGAACGAGUACAUGGGCGAGAAGAGGCAGCGAAUCACCGUGAGGAGCGAGUCACCGGUCGACUACGCCGCUGAAGCCAGGUACCAGCUCGAGGAGAUCGCCAAGCUCACCUCCAGCUAGAAGAAGAUGCAAGAGGAGUAUGCCUGCUCCCCUCGAGGAGAUUCCCAAGCUCACCGCUGCCUGCUGGGAGAAGAUGCUCCCCUUGAGGAGAUAGAUAUCCAGGCUCAUCGCACUAGACGGAGCCAUGUUUUGGCCCCAAGUUUCCUGAAGUGUAGUGCUGCUUCAGCCGUGUCUUUCUGCCGU
RNAcentral lists this long non-coding RNA (317 nucleotides) under Triticum aestivum (bread wheat). RNAcentral's name for it is "long non-coding RNA (TAES_LNC004698)". Lineage: Eukaryota; Viridiplantae; Streptophyta; Magnoliopsida; Poales; Poaceae. The record is from RNAcentral.